UAAAGAGUUUGAUUCAGCUCAGAUUGAACGCUGGCGGGAUGCUUUACACAUGCAAGUCGAACGGCAGCACGGACACCGGUCUGGUGGCAGUGGCGAACGGGUGAGUAAUGUAUCCGGAACGUGCCUAGUAGCGGGGGAUAACUACGCGAAAGCGUAGCUAAUACCGCAUACGCCCUUCGGGGAAAGCGGGGGGACAGCUUCGGGCCUCGCACUAUUAGGCGGCCGAUAUCGAGUUAGCUGUAGUUGGUGGGGUAACGGCUCACCAAGGCGACGAUCCGUAGCUGGUUUGAGAGGACGACCAGCCACCUGGGACUGAGACACGGCCCAGACUCCUGCACGGGAGGCAACAGUGGGGAAUUUUGGACAGCUGGGGAAACCCUGAUCCAGCCAUCCCGCGUGUGCGAUGAAGGCCGCUUCAGGUUGUAAAACACUUUUGGCAGGAAAAAAACGGCACGGGAUAAUACCCCACAACUGACGGUACUGCAGAAUAAGCACCGGCUAACUACGUGCCAGCAGCGGUAAUACGUGGUGCAAGCGUUAAUCGGAAUUACUGAGCGUAAAGCGUGCGCAGGCGGUUGGAAGAAAGAUGCUGAAGUCAGUAUUUAACAGGCCUGUUUAACUAUGAGCUAGAGUAAUGACAGCGGAAUUCCGCGUGUAAGCAAUGGAAAAUGCGUAAGAUGCGAAGCACCGGCGAGACAGCUCCUGGGCUUUUGACUGCUCAUGCCGACAGCAUGGGUAAACAGGUUAGAUGCUGAGUCACGCCUGCAUUGUCAACUAGCUGUGCUGGCCUUCGGACAUGACGCAGCAACACGUGAGGUUGGCUUGCCUGGUGGUCAGUCAAAGCUCAAGAUCGCUGAAUUGCACAAGCGUUGGAUAAUCGUGAGUUCAGUCGUUAUGACUUGCUGAAAACCACCACCUGCCGGCAUGUCUAGAUCGGGAGGAUUGGGGGUCUCAUGGCGAAGAACCGGAUUUGGGAUGCAUGGCAUUAAGUCAACUCGAUCAGGAUGUUGGAUCCAAGUCCCAUAACGAGCGCAACCCUUGUCGUGGUGCUGGUCUAAUGAGACUGCCGGUGACAAACCGGAGGAAGGUGGGGAUGACGUCAGGUCCUCAUGGCCCUUAUGGGUAGGGCUUCACACGUCAUUACAAUGGUCGGGACAGAGGUCGCCCAGCCCGCGAGGGGGUAAUCCCAGAAACCCGAUCGUAGUCCGGAUCGCAGUCUGCAACUCGACUGCGUGAAAUUUGAAUCGCUAGUAAUCGCGGAUCAGCAUGUCGCGGUGAAUACGUUCGGGUCUUGUACACCGCCCGUCACACCAUGGGAGUGGGUUUUGCAGAAGUGGUGCUUCUAACCGUAAGGAGGGCGAUUACCACGGUAGGAUUCAUGACUGAGGUGAAGUCGUAACAAGGUAA
RNAcentral lists this ribosomal RNA (1407 nucleotides) under uncultured Bordetella sp. RNAcentral's name for it is "partial 16S-23S ribosomal RNA intergenic spacer". It matches the Rfam family "Bacterial small subunit ribosomal RNA". Lineage: Bacteria; Pseudomonadati; Pseudomonadota; Betaproteobacteria; Burkholderiales; Alcaligenaceae. The record is from RNAcentral.